Molecule: long non-coding RNA, 638 nt
Organism: Canis lupus familiaris (dog)
Lineage: Eukaryota; Metazoa; Chordata; Mammalia; Carnivora; Canidae
Exons: 2
Source: RefSeq, a predicted model, not a curated record
UGCUAGCCUCCCCACUGAGCCAGCAUGAGGAUUGACCUUUCGUGGAUCACAGGAAGGAAAUCUGGCUUCUCAAAGAAGUCAAACUGGUUUUGACAGAAAAGACUUUACCAGCAAAACUCUAGGCAGAAGCAGGGAUACUCAACAGCAGGAGAAAGCAGAGUGUAUGCCAAUGGUAGAAAUACAAGGAUCUUGAAGAGCAGAAGGCACCUUGAAGAGCAAGACUCAUUUUCUCCCCCUGCGGAUCACCCUGUCUUGAUUCAUGCAGCCGUACCGUACCCCACUGGCACACCUCAAAGCACAGCUUGCCUUGGAUUUGCAUAAUGUGAAAUUGCUAAGCUAAAUUAUUGCCACAUGUAGGAUCCGUUAUCACUUUCUUAUUUCCGAACUGGUGAAAACGUUGCCACGGAACCACUGAUAUAAAGGAAGCAGUCCACGGGUUUCCUAGUUCAUUCAGAGGAUCUGCAGUUUCAUUUCUCCCCUUUACAACAGACCCACAGAGAGCAGCUAGUAUUUACAGGGCUCGGAGUGGCCACUUUGAAAUUGCUGAGAAAGAACAUAAACACUGAACAAGUGCAGCAGGCAUAGAAUAAACAAGAAAAUGAUGCUUCAGUGAAAUAAAGCAAGUGUGUUUGAGUCAA